UUUAUUGGAGAGUUUGAUCCUGGCUCAGGAUGAACGCUGGCGGCGUGCCUAAUACAUGCAAGUCGAGCGAAUGGAUUGA
Molecule: ribosomal RNA, 79 nt
Filed under: Bacillus cereus
Lineage: Bacteria; Bacillati; Bacillota; Bacilli; Caryophanales; Bacillaceae
Description: partial 16S ribosomal RNA
Rfam family: Bacterial small subunit ribosomal RNA
Source: RNAcentral